AUAAAAAACCCUGCAGAAAUUCUGCAGGGUCCUUCUAUUUUCCGCCUUGGCGGAUAGAAGGCAAAGGGAGAGGAGAAACCGGAGGAAGAACUUAUGGGGAAACGUAAGUCUUCUCCGCGG
Non-coding RNA from Bacillus sp. VT-16-64, 120 nucleotides. Lineage: Bacteria; Bacillati; Bacillota; Bacilli; Caryophanales; Bacillaceae. The record is from Rfam.